UUUCCAAGUUAUUAUUUUAAUAAAACAUAUUAGGAUUAUAGAUUAUAUUUAUAUUUAUUGUUUAACUCGAAAUUAUGGCUGUAUUUUUUUUUCUGUGCAAUGGCUAAACUGCUUUUUACACCAAAGCCCAGAAAUUUAUGCGCAUUUUGAUCGGAUCUCGAAAACCGCAGCGUGGGCGUGGCAGAGCAUUUAAAGUGAAAAAAACGUAUUUUCCAGCGAAAGUAAGCAGAAGUACAAAAUGAAAUGUGCUUUUUGUCUAACAGUUCCAGGGAAAUGAUAAAAGAAGCUAACACUUUUAGAUAGAAGUUACCUGUAAAAUGACAAAUAACUGCAGUAAUGUGGAUGACAUAAAUUUCACGGAAAUCUCAAUAAUCAUAAAAUUAAAAUACAAAUUCCGUGCAGCACGAUUUCCAGUAUUUAGACCGAGAACAUCAGGCCCAGCUAACCCAGCAGAAUCGCACAAUCGCAGCAUGUUGCACUCUCAGCUCUGGAGCCAACCGUUACUGCCAAGGCCCAAACAGAAACAGCCAGCCAGUCAGCUGGGGGGAGACCGCAAAUUUAUGAACUCACAACUCAGUUGCAGAUAUUUCGGGGAGCUUGGAGUGGGGAAUGGGAGUUGCACAGUCGAGAACUGAGAAUCAUUUGCUGGCAGUGCACUUUUUGCAGCUCCAGAAGAGCAAGUUGUAAUCUUCAGCAACAGCAUCGUCAUCAUCGUCUCGGCUGUUAAUUACGUGGCUCAAUUGCUCGAGAUUAAUGUGUUUCCGUUUUGUAAUUAAAUUGAGAGCUCAGGUCCCCAAGAAGGGGCUUCGAGUCGCGAGCUCUAAGCAGGUCAAGCACCAGUUGAGAAGCUCAAACUUGACCUUAAUUGCAAUUUGUGCACAAUUUUAUAUAUUAUAUUAAAAUGAUUUGUUUUUUUUUUGGCCUUUCACCUUCAAUAAGAGAGGAGGCUACGGAAAUGAAAAGGAAAUAAAGUUUUUCAACUACA
This is a long non-coding RNA of Drosophila ananassae, 985 nucleotides long. RefSeq lists it as uncharacterized. Lineage: Eukaryota; Metazoa; Arthropoda; Insecta; Diptera; Drosophilidae. The record is from RefSeq and is a predicted model, not a curated record. The transcript has 4 exons.